RNAcentral lists this transfer RNA (71 nucleotides) under Camelus bactrianus (Bactrian camel). It matches the Rfam family "tRNA". From Rfam's summary of the family: Transfer RNA (tRNA) molecules are approximately 80 nucleotides in length. Their secondary structure includes four short double-helical elements and three loops (D, anti-codon, and T loops). The record is from Rfam by way of RNAcentral. RNAcentral also lists the same sequence under 3 other names. Lineage: Eukaryota; Metazoa; Chordata; Mammalia; Artiodactyla; Camelidae.
GAGGCUAUAGCCCAGUGGUAGAGUGCCUGCUUAGCAUGCACAAAAUCCUGAGUUCAAUCCCCAGUACCUCA